RNAcentral lists this ribosomal RNA (776 nucleotides) under uncultured Neocallimastigales. Its description in RNAcentral is "partial large subunit ribosomal RNA". It matches the Rfam family "Eukaryotic large subunit ribosomal RNA", at positions 20 to 616 of the family's 3401-position model. The record is from RNAcentral. Lineage: Eukaryota; Fungi; Neocallimastigomycota; Neocallimastigomycetes; Neocallimastigales.
UACUAGAGUAGCACUCGCAUAUCAAUAAGCGGAGGAAAAGAAACUAACAAGGAUUCCCCUAGUAACGGCGAGUGAAGCGGGAAGAGCUCAAAUUUGAAAUCUUAAAGGGUUUCCCUUUACGAAUUGUAGUUUAAAGAAGUGUUUUUCUGUUGAGGUUUUGGUAAAAGUUCUUUGGAAUAGGACAUCAUAGAGGGUGAGAAUCCCGUAUUUGACCUUUACUUUCAACUUUGUGAUACACUUUCAAAGAGUCGGAUUGUUUGGGAAUGCAGUCCAAAAUGGGUGGUAAAUUUCAUCUAAAGCUAAAUAUUGGCGAGAGACCGAUAGCGAACAAGUACCGUGAGGGAAAGAUGAAAAGAACUUUGAAAAGAGAGUUAAACAGUACGUGAAAUUGUCAAAAGGGAAGCGUUUGACACCAGUGUUGUUUUUCUGAAAAUCAAUUAAAGAACUGUUUAUGCUAAGUUGUUUAGACUUUAUCAGCUAACUGUUUAGUUUUGAGCUUUUCUUUAAUGCACUUUUCAGUUAACAAGUCAACAUCAAUUUCUUUUGCUGUAAAAAAAGCUUGAGGAAGGUGGCUUGAGAUUCGUCUUAAGUGUUUAUAGCCUCUUGCCUAUGCAGUCGGAGAGAUUGAGGUCUGCAGCGUAGAUCCUUCGGGGCUAAAUGCAUUUGUGCUAAGUUAUAGCAUUUUAUAGACAACUUGUUGACUAUGAUUUGUCUUGUAGCUUACUCGCUUAUGUUAUUUUACCUACGCUUAGGAUGUUGAGCGCAUGUCUCUCUCU